This 461-nucleotide ribosomal RNA is filed under the name uncultured bacterium. RNAcentral's name for it is "partial 16S ribosomal RNA". It matches the Rfam family "Bacterial small subunit ribosomal RNA", at positions 28 to 506 of the family's 1533-position model. The record is from RNAcentral.
GACGAACGCUGGCGGCGUGCUUAACACAUGCAAGUCGAACGGAAAGGCCCUUCGGGGUACUCGAGUGGCGAACGGGUGAGUAACACGUGGGUGAUCUGCCCUGCACUUUGGGAUAAGCCUGGGAAACUGGGUCUAAUACCGAAUAGGACCGCGCUCUUCAUGGUGUGUGGGGGCAAGCUUUUGCGGUGUGGGUUGGGCCCGCUGCCUAUCAGCUUGUUGGUGGGUUAAUGGCCUACCAAGUCGCGGACGGGUAGCCGUCCUGAGAGGGUGACCGGCCACACUGGGACUGAGAUACGGCCCAGACUCGUACCGGCGGCAGCAGUGGGGAGUAUUGCACAAUGGGCGCAAGCCUGAUGCAGCGACGCCGCGUGAGGGAAGACGGCCUUCGGGUUGUAAACAAAUUUCACCAGAGACGAAGCGCAAGUGACGGUACCUGGAGAAGAAGCACCGGCCAACUACGU